This 391-nucleotide ribosomal RNA is filed under the name uncultured bacterium. Its description in RNAcentral is "bacterial SSU rRNA". It matches the Rfam family "Bacterial small subunit ribosomal RNA", at positions 30 to 426 of the family's 1533-position model. The record is from RNAcentral.
AUUGAACGCUGGCGGAAUGCUUUACACAUGCAAGUCGAACGGUAGAGGGGGCAACCCCUUGAGAGUGGCGAACGGGUGAGUAAUAUAUCGGAACGUGCCCAGUCGUGGGGAUAACGUAGCGAAAGUUACGCUAAUACCGCAUACGAUCUAAGGAUGAAAGCGGGGGAUCGCAAGACCUCGCGCGAUUGGAGCGGCCGAUAUCAGAUUAGGUAGUUGGUGAGGUAAAGGCUCACCAAGCCAACGAUCUGUAGCUGGUCUGAGGGGACGACCAGCCACACUGGAACUGAGACACGGUCCAGACUCCUACGGGAGGCAGCAGUGGGGAAUUUUGGACAAUGGGCGAAAGCCUGAUCCAGCAAUGCCGCGUGCAGGAAGAAGGCCUUCGGGUUGU